Pteropus alecto (black flying fox) is the source of this 119-nucleotide non-coding RNA. The record is from Rfam. NCBI's taxonomy places the organism in Eukaryota, Metazoa, Chordata, Mammalia, Chiroptera, Pteropodidae.
GUCUAGGGCCAUGCUACCCUGAACAAACCCGAUACCAUAUGAUUUCGGAAGCUGAGCGGGGUCAGGCCUGGUUAGUACUUGGAUGGGAGACUACCUAGGAAGACCAGGUGCUAUAGGUG